RNAcentral lists this ribosomal RNA (253 nucleotides) under uncultured bacterium. RNAcentral's name for it is "partial 16S ribosomal RNA". It matches the Rfam family "Bacterial small subunit ribosomal RNA", at positions 524 to 776 of the family's 1533-position model. The record is from RNAcentral.
UACGUAGGGGUCGAGCGUUGUCCGGAAUUACUGGGCGUAAAGCGCGCGCAGGCGGCUGAUCAAGCCUGACGUGAAAGCCCCCGGCUCAACCGGGGAGGGUCGUCGGGGACUGGUUGGCUUGAGGGCGGUAGGGGCCGGUGGAAUUCCCGGUGUAGUGGUGAAAUGCGUAGAGAUCGGGAGGAACACCAGUGGCGAAGGCGGCCGGCUGGGCCGACCCUGACGCUGAGGCGCGAAGGCGUGGGGAGCGAACGGG